RNAcentral lists this ribosomal RNA (312 nucleotides) under Macrococcus equipercicus. RNAcentral describes it as "bacterial SSU rRNA". It matches the Rfam family "Bacterial small subunit ribosomal RNA", at positions 58 to 355 of the family's 1533-position model. Lineage: Bacteria; Bacillati; Bacillota; Bacilli; Caryophanales; Staphylococcaceae. The record is from RNAcentral.
CAAGUCGAGCGGAAGACAGGAGUGCUUGCACUCCUUGAAGUCAGCGGCGGACGGGUGAGUAACACGUGGGUAACCUACCUAUAAGACUGGGAUAACUUCGGGAAACCGGAGCUAAUACCGGAUAAUAUGUUUCACCUCAUGGUGAAACAGUGAAAGACGGUUUCGGCUGUCACUUAUAGAUGGACCCGCGGCGCAUUAGCUAGUUGGUGAGGUAACGGCUCACCAAGGCGACGAUGCGUAGCCGACCUGAGAGGGUGAUCGGCCACACUGGGACUGAGACACGGCCCAGACUCCUACGGGAGGCAGCAGUAA